Molecule: ribosomal RNA, 447 nt
Filed under: uncultured bacterium
Lineage: Bacteria
Description: partial 16S ribosomal RNA
Rfam family: Bacterial small subunit ribosomal RNA
Source: RNAcentral
AGCGAACGCUGGCGGCAGGCCUAAUACAUGCAAGUCGAACGGCUCUUCGGAGCAGUGGCGGACGGGUGAGUAACGCGUGGGAAUGUGCCCUUAGGUACGGAACAACACAGGGAAACUUGUGCUAAUACCGUAUGUGCCCUUCGGGCGAAAGAUUUGUCGCCUUUGGAGCAGGCCGCGUUGGAUUAGGUAGUUCGUGAGGUAAAGUCUCACCAAUCCGACGAACCAUAGCUGGUUUGGUAGGAUGACCGGCCACACUGGAACUGAGAAACGGCCCAGACUCCUACGGUAGGCAGCAGUAGGGAAUCUUGCGCAAUGGGCGAAAGCCUGACGCAGCCAUGCCGCGUGUAUGAUGAAGGUCUUAGGAUUGUAAAAUACUUUCACCGGGGAAGAUAAUGACGGUACCCGGUGAAGAAGCCCCGGCUAACUUCUUGCCAGCCGCCGCCGUAA